GACGAACGCUGGCGGCGUGCUUAACACAUGCAAGUCGAACGGAAAGGCCCUGCUUUUGUGGGGUGCUCGAGUGGCGAACGGGUGAGUAACACGUGAGUAACCUGCCCUUGACUUUGGGAUAACUUCAGGAAACUGGGGCUAAUACCGGAUAGGAGCUCCUGCUGCAUGGUGGGGGUUGGAAAGUUUCGGCGGUUGGGGAUGGACUCGCGGCUUAUCAGCUUGUUGGUGGGGUAGUGGCUUACCAAGGCUUUGACGGGUAGCCGGCCUGAGAGGGUGACCGGCCACAUUGGGACUGAGAUACGGCCCAGACUCCUACGGGAGGCAGCGGUGGGGAAGAGUGCACAAUGGGCGGAAGCCUGAUGCAGCAACGCCGCGUGCGGGAUGACGGCCUUCGGGUUGUAAACCGCUGUCGCCUGUGACGAAGCGUGAGUGACGGUAAUGGGUAAAGAAGCACCGGCUAACUACGUG
This 468-nucleotide ribosomal RNA is filed under the name uncultured bacterium. RNAcentral's name for it is "partial 16S ribosomal RNA". It matches the Rfam family "Bacterial small subunit ribosomal RNA", at positions 28 to 507 of the family's 1533-position model. The record is from RNAcentral.